Molecule: long non-coding RNA, 494 nt
Organism: Mus musculus (house mouse)
Lineage: Eukaryota; Metazoa; Chordata; Mammalia; Rodentia; Muridae
Product: predicted gene, 40404
Exons: 3
Source: RefSeq, a predicted model, not a curated record
ACUUGCUGGUUGUGUUUGGGGAAGAGGUUUAUGACAAUGGCCCUAUAGGACUGGGAACAUAUUCUGUUUCCACUGGGACUAUGAGCCACCAUGCUGCUUGGUACUGACUACUUCCCAUUAUAAAAUGAAGCUUCUUGACCAAGUUUUGGUGUAUCCAGGUCUCUGGUACAUUCUGAAGGGUUCACCCGAGGGCUGUGCUGGAGCAUAUAGGUGCCACAGUCCCUGCUUGCCGCAGUCUCAGACCUGCAGAGACAAGACUGACAAAGACACCAAGGUGGGUUUAUGCAGCAACUUCUUUACUUCCUGCUUUUUCCCCUCCAGCUUGCUUUCCCAGCAGGUUCUUCUUUCUCCAUCCUUCUUUCAGCAAGGGCUAAACUCCUAUCCUCGCAGCGACUGGCCUCACCUUGCUCCAAACCACCUCAUACAAUCAGGAUCACACACACCCCAGGCUCAGGUCGGUCACAGAUAGGCAGACAGAUCCAGAUCACAAGGAA